UAUGUACUCCCUUCUUCCGAAAAUACUUCUCAUAUAGAUGAAUGUAUCUACAUGUAUUUUUGUUUUAAAUACAUUCAUUUUUAUACAUUUGUGCGACAAGUAAUUCCGGACGAAGAAAGUAUUUC
Molecule: non-coding RNA, 125 nt
Organism: Hordeum vulgare subsp. vulgare (domesticated barley)
Lineage: Eukaryota; Viridiplantae; Streptophyta; Magnoliopsida; Poales; Poaceae
Source: Rfam